Molecule: ribosomal RNA, 440 nt
Filed under: uncultured bacterium
Lineage: Bacteria
Description: partial 16S ribosomal RNA
Rfam family: Bacterial small subunit ribosomal RNA
Source: RNAcentral
CCUACGGGGGGCAGCAGUAGGGAAUAUUGCUCAAUGGGGGAAACCCUGAAGCAGCAACGCCGCGUGGAGGAUGAAGGUUUUCGGAUUGUAAACUCCUUUUGUUAGAGAAGAUAAUGACGGUAUCUAACGAAUAAGCACCGGCUAACUCCGUGCCAGCAGCCGCGGUAAUACGGAGGGUGCAAGCGUUACUCGGAAUCACUGGGCGUAAAGAGCGCGUAGGCGGGAGAGCAAGUCAGAUGUGAAAUCCUAGGGCUUAACCAUAGAACUGCAUUUGAAACUGUUAUUCUAGAGUAUGGUAGAGGGAGGUGGAAUUCUUGGUGUAGGGGUAAAAUCCGUAGAGAUCAAGAGGAAUACUCAUUGCGAAGGCGACCUGCUAGAACAUAACUGACGCUGAUGCGCGAAAGCGUGGGGAGCAAACAGGAUUAGAUACCCUUGUAGUC